UGUUGGUGGGGUAACGGCUCACCAAGGCGACGAUCCCUAGCUGGUCUGAGAGGAUGACCAGCCACACUGGAACUGAGACACGGUCCAGACUCCUACGGGAGGCAGCAGUGGGGAAUAUUGCACAAUGGGCGCAAGCCUGAUGCAGCCAUGCCGCGUGUAUGAAGAAGGCCUUCGGGUUGUAAAGUACUUUCAGCGGGGAGGAAGGGAGUAAAGUUAAUACCUUUGCUCAUUGACGUUACCCGCAGAAGAAGCACCGGCUAACUCCGUGCCAGCAGCCGCGGUAAUACGGAGGGUGCAAGCGUUAAUCGGAAUUACUGGGCGUAAAGCGCACGCAGGCGGUUUGUUAAGUCAGAUGUGAAAUCCCCGGGCUCAACCUGGGAACUGCAUCUGAUACUGGCAAGCUUGAGUCUCGUAGAGGGGGGUAGAAUUCCAGGUGUAGCGGUGAAAUGCGUAGAGAUCUGGAGGAAUACCGGUGGCGAAGGCGGCCCCCUGGACGAAGACUGACGCUCAGGUGCGAAAGCGUGGGGAGCAAACAGGAUUAGAUACCCUGGUAGUCCACGCCGUAAACGAUGUCGACUUGGAGGUUGUGCCCUUGAGGCGUGGCUUCCGGAGCUAACGCGUUAAGUCGACCGCCUGGGGAGUACGGCCGCAAGGUUAAAACUCAAAUGAAUUGACGGGGGCCCGCACAAGCGGUGGAGCAUGUGGUUUAAUUCGAUGCAACGCGAAGAACCUUACCUGGUCUUGACAUCCACGGAAGUUUUCAGAGAUGAGAAUGUGCCUUCGGGAACCGUGAGACAGGUGCUGCAUGGCUGUCGUCAGCUCGUGUUGUGAAAUGUUGGGUUAAGUCCCGCAACGAGCGCAACCCUUAUCCUUUGUUGCCAGCGGUCCGGCCGGGAACUCAAAGGAGACUGCCAGUGAUAAACUGGAGGAAGGUGGGGAUGACGUCAA
RNAcentral lists this ribosomal RNA (948 nucleotides) under uncultured Gammaproteobacteria bacterium. RNAcentral's name for it is "bacterial SSU rRNA". It matches the Rfam family "Bacterial small subunit ribosomal RNA", at positions 247 to 1188 of the family's 1533-position model. The record is from RNAcentral. Lineage: Bacteria; Pseudomonadati; Pseudomonadota; Gammaproteobacteria.